Molecule: ribosomal RNA, 22 nt
Filed under: Sticta ciliata
Lineage: Eukaryota; Fungi; Ascomycota; Lecanoromycetes; Peltigerales; Lobariaceae
Description: partial 28S ribosomal RNA
Source: RNAcentral
GGAAUACCCGCUGAACUUAAGC